CAGCUUGACUGCGAGCGUGACGGCGCGAGCAGGUGCGAAAGCAGGUCAUAGUGAUCCGGUGGUUCUGAAUGGAAGGGCCAUCGCUCAACGGAUAAAAGGUACUCCGGGGAUAACAGGCUGAUACCGCCCAAGAGUUCAUAUCGACGGCGGUGUUUGGCACCUCGAUGUCGGCUCAUCACAUCCUGGGGCUGAAGUAGGUCCCAAGGGUAUGGCUGUUCGCCAUUUAAAGUGGUACGCGAGCUGGGUUUAGAACGUCGUGAGACAGUUCGGUCCCUAUCUGCCGUGGGCGCUGGAGAACUGAGGGGGGCUGCUCCUAGUACGAGAGGACCGGAGUGGACGCAUCACUGGUGUUCGGGUUGUCAUGCCAAUGGCACUGCCCGGUAGCUAAAUGCGGAAGAGAUAAGUGCUGAAAGCAUCUAAGCACGAAACUUGCCCCGAGAUGAGUUCUCCCUGACUCCUUGAGAGUCCUGAAGGAACGUUGAAGACGACGACGUUGAUAGGCCGGGUGUGUAAGCGCAGCGAUGCGUUGAGCUAACCGGUACUAAUGAACCGUGAGG
Molecule: ribosomal RNA, 557 nt
Filed under: Escherichia coli
Lineage: Bacteria; Pseudomonadati; Pseudomonadota; Gammaproteobacteria; Enterobacterales; Enterobacteriaceae
Description: partial 23S ribosomal RNA
Rfam family: Bacterial large subunit ribosomal RNA
Source: RNAcentral